UCUUGACCUCCACAGAACUUUCCAGAGAUGGAUUGGUGCCUUCGGGAACUGUGAGACAGGUGCUGCAUGGCUGUCGUCAGCUCGUGUUGUGAAAUGUUGGGUUAAGUCCCGCAACGAGCGCAACCCUUAUCCUUUGUUGCCAGCGGUUCGGCCGGGAACUCAAAGGAGACUGCCAGUGAUAAACUGGAGGAAGGUGGGGAUGACGUCAAGUCAUCAUGGCCCUUACGACCAGGGCUACACACGUGCUACAAUGGCAUAUACAAAGAGAAGCGACCUCGCGAGAGCAAGCGGACCUCAUAAAGUAUGUCGUAGUCCGGAUUGGAGUCUGCAACUCGACUCCAUGAAGUCGGAAUCGCU
RNAcentral lists this ribosomal RNA (357 nucleotides) under Pseudomonas aeruginosa. Its description in RNAcentral is "bacterial SSU rRNA". It matches the Rfam family "Bacterial small subunit ribosomal RNA", at positions 979 to 1336 of the family's 1533-position model. Lineage: Bacteria; Pseudomonadati; Pseudomonadota; Gammaproteobacteria; Pseudomonadales; Pseudomonadaceae. The record is from RNAcentral.